CCUACGGGAGGCAGCAGUGAGGAAUAUUGGUCAAUGGCCGCAGGCCUGAACCAGCCAAGUCGCGUGAGGGAUGACGGUCCUACGGAUUGUAAACCUCUUUUUCAGGGAGCUAAGGGCGCCACGUGUGGCGCUUUGCGAGGAACUGAAGAAAUAGCAUCGGCUAAAUCCGUGCCAGCAGCCGCGGUAAUACGGAGGAUGCGAGCGUUAUCCGGAUUUAGUGGGGUUAAAGGGUGCGCAGGCGGAAUGUAAAGUCAGCGGGAAAAUUUCGGGGGUCAACCCCGUCGUGCCGUUGAAACUGGCGUCCUUGAGUGAGCGAGAGGUAUGCGGAAUGCGUGGUGUAGCGGUGAAAUGCAUAGAUAUCACGCAGAACUCCGAUUGCGAAGGCAGCAUACCGGCGCUCAACUGACGCUCAUGCACGAAGGCGUGGGUAUCGAACAGGAUUAGAUACCCGGGUAGUC
RNAcentral lists this ribosomal RNA (458 nucleotides) under uncultured bacterium. RNAcentral describes it as "partial 16S ribosomal RNA". It matches the Rfam family "Bacterial small subunit ribosomal RNA", at positions 338 to 795 of the family's 1533-position model. The record is from RNAcentral.